This 700-nucleotide ribosomal RNA is filed under the name gamma proteobacterium PM38. RNAcentral's name for it is "bacterial SSU rRNA". It matches the Rfam family "Bacterial small subunit ribosomal RNA", at positions 92 to 788 of the family's 1533-position model. Lineage: Bacteria; Pseudomonadati; Pseudomonadota; Gammaproteobacteria. The record is from RNAcentral.
CGAGUGGCGGACGGGUGAGUAAUGCUUGGGAAUAUGCCAAUGGGUGGGGGACAACAGUUGGAAACGACUGCUAAUACCGCAUAAUGUCUUCGGACCAAAGGAGGGGCUCUUCGGACCUUUCGCCUAUUGAUUAGCCCAAGUGGGAUUAGCUAGUUGGUAAGGUAAUGGCUUACCAAGGCAUCGAUCCCUAGCUGGUCUUAGAGGAUGACCAGCCACACUGGAACUGAGACACGGUCCAGACUCCUACGGGAGGCAGCAGUGGGGAAUAUUGCACAAUGGGGGAAACCCUGAUGCAGCCAUGCCGCGUGUGUGAAGAAGGCUUUCGGGUUGUAAAGCACUUUCAGUUGUGAGGAAAGGGUGUUACUUAAUACGUAACAUCUGUGACGUUAACAACAGAAGAAGCACCGGCUAACUCCGUGCCAGCAGCCGCGGUAAUACGGAGGGUGCGAGCGUUAAUCGGAAUUACUGGGCGUAAAGCGCGCGUAGGUGGUUAAUUAAGUCAGAUGUGAAAGCCCAGGGCUCAACCUUGGAACUGCAUUUGAUACUGGUUAACUAGAGUUUUGUAGAGGGUGGUAGAAUUUCAGGUGUAGCGGUGAAAUGCGUAGAGAUCUGAAGGAAUACCAGUGGCGAAGGCGGCCACCUGGACAGUAACUGACACUGAGGCGCGAAGGCGUGGGGAGCAAACGGGAUUAGAUACCCC